Molecule: ribosomal RNA, 459 nt
Filed under: uncultured bacterium
Lineage: Bacteria
Description: partial 16S ribosomal RNA
Rfam family: Bacterial small subunit ribosomal RNA
Source: RNAcentral
CCUACGGGAGGCUGCAGUGAGGAAUAUUGGUCAAUGGACGCAAGUCUGAACCAGCCAUGCCGCGUGCAGGAAGACGGCCCUAUGAGUUGUAAACUGCUUUUGUACGAGGGUAAAUCCCGAUACGGGUAUCGGGUUGAAAGUGUCUUACGAAUAAGAAUCGGCUAACUCCGUGCCAGAAGCCGCGGUAAUACGGAGGAUUCAAGCGGUAUCCGGAUUUAGUGGGUUUAAAGGGUGCGCAGGCGGAAGAUCAAGUCAGCGGUAAAAUUGAGAGGCUAAACCUCUUCGAGCCGUUGAAACUGGUUUUCUUGAGUGUGCGAGAAGGAUGCGGAAUGCGUGGUGUAGCGGUGAAAUGCAUAGAUAUCACGCAGAACUCCGAUUGCGAAGGCAGCAUACCGGCGCUCAACUGACGCUCAUGCACGAAAGUGUGGGUAUCGAACAGGAUUAGAUACCCUUGUAGUC